UUCUUAUUAAUUUAUCAUAAGUAUCACCUGCUCAAUGAUAAGUUUAAAUAGCCGCGGAAAUUUAACUGUGCUAAGGUAGCAUAAUCAUUAGUCCUUUAAUUGAGGACUUGCAUGAAAGGUGGAACAUUUCAAUUACUUUCUUACUUAGUUUUAUUAAAUUUUAAUUAAGAAUCAAAAUGUUCUUAUUUUUAAAAUAGACGACAAGACCCUUUUGAACUUUACUAUUGUUUAGCUGGGGCAGCUAAAAAAUAAUAAUCUUUUUUUUCUAAUUUCAAUAGAAGAUCCAAUAAAAUUGAUUACACGAACAAGUUACCAUAGGGAUAACAGCGUAAUGCCUUUUUAAAGUUCUUAUUUAAAAAGAAGAUUGCGACCUCGAUGUUGAAUUAAUGUUUCUUUAAUAGUGCAGUAACUUUAAAAGUAGGUCUGUUCGACCUAUAAAACAUUACA
Molecule: ribosomal RNA, 447 nt
Filed under: Cyclosa simplicicauda simplicicauda
Lineage: Eukaryota; Metazoa; Arthropoda; Arachnida; Araneae; Araneidae
Description: partial 16S ribosomal RNA
Rfam family: Bacterial large subunit ribosomal RNA
Source: RNAcentral